AGCAACAUAAGCUAGCGUACUACUCUACUAGGCCUAGGCUAGUACAGUGAGUAGUUUAUGAAAUUGUAUCCCUAGUAACGUCGUAUGUUUACGUAACGUUUUACAUUAUAUUCCUCAGUGAUUCUUUUGCAGUUGAUAAAAGGCCUAUGUAUAUAUUGGAACAUACCUAUAGCCUAAGUAAUAUGCCUAUACCAAAGCCACCUCUAUACUACUACCACCUGUAGGCCUACCAAUUUAACUGUUCCCUGGGCGGGUGGGUCCUACUUAUCGAGAGUACUUAGCCUAUAGCCUAGGUAGUGAGAUUAGAGGCUAACCUAAAAAUAUAGGCAGACCUAUGUUAUCAUCAUUAAUAUUAGAUGCCAUUAUGCAUGCUAUGUCAGAACUAUUGAUAUUUUAUAAUUAGGUCAAUUCGUAUUGUUUUUAUUUUUUUGUUUUUUGGUUUUUUUUCAAUAUUCUAGUAUGUUGAAAACAUAUUAGAAGAUAGUAGGCAGAAAAGUGAGGAAGGUGAAAGCACACUGCCAGUACCAACAAUUGAAAAUGCAUCAUCUCAUUUACUAGCCUCGUUUGUUAAAGAAUAUCAGCAGAGCAGAAACUUGCAGGAUAAUUCAAAAACAUCCACUACAAAGUGCAGAAAAAAAGGGACAAAGUCUAAAUGCUCAAUGCGUGUGCAAGUUGGCUCAAAAAUGUGUACCAAAGAAACUCAAACUGACCCCCAAAUCAC
Molecule: long non-coding RNA, 721 nt
Organism: Anneissia japonica
Lineage: Eukaryota; Metazoa; Echinodermata; Crinoidea; Comatulida; Comatulidae
Exons: 3
Source: RefSeq, a predicted model, not a curated record